AUCAGUGCGCUGCAAACAGCCCUGUAUGGUAGUUAAUCUAUUACGGAUGGCGUCAUUCUUUCAAACGGAUAAAAUUAAAAAAUGGGUGGCAAAAUAUACUUUGGCAGCUGUUACUAAACCUGGGGGAUGUUUUUUUUAUUAACAAUAGAAAUAUUACAUCCAUUGUAACUUUUUUCCUUUUUUUUCUCUUUACCAGAAAUACAUCUCAAGAAGCAGUGUCCCCAUUCUCUCAUAUUUGUGUGUGGCCCUAGACAAUUUAUGUGACGUGUAUGUGGCAGUGCAGUCAAUGUGUCGCUAGAGAGAGUAGUAGGUCUGGACAAUGACGCAGCCCAUAAGACUGAGAAUCAUCCUUGGUGAAAAUGAUGCGAGGAAGCUUAUUCUGCCAGCAGGGAUACCAGACUCCAUAGAGGAAUUGUGCCAGACAAUAAAGACGAGUUUUGGAUUGCAACAAGAUUUUCGGCUUCAGAAUCAGGAUGCUGAUUUUGGAAAUGAGU
This is a long non-coding RNA of Notolabrus celidotus (New Zealand spotty), 494 nucleotides long. RefSeq lists it as uncharacterized. The record is from RefSeq and is a predicted model, not a curated record. Lineage: Eukaryota; Metazoa; Chordata; Actinopteri; Labriformes; Labridae. The transcript is spliced from 3 exons.